RNAcentral lists this ribosomal RNA (643 nucleotides) under uncultured bacterium. RNAcentral describes it as "bacterial SSU rRNA". It matches the Rfam family "Bacterial small subunit ribosomal RNA", at positions 232 to 885 of the family's 1533-position model. The record is from RNAcentral.
CGCGGCCUAUCAGCUUGUUGGUGAGGUAAUGGCUCACCAAGGCGACGACGGGUAGCCGGCCUGAGAGGGUGACCGGCCACACUGGGACUGAGACACGGCCCAGACUCCUACGGGAGGCAGCAGUGGGGAAUAUUGCACAAUGGGCGAAAGCCUGAUGCAGCGACGCCGCGUGAGGGAUGACGGCCUUCGGGUUGUAAACCUCUUUCAGUAGGGAAGAAGCGAAAGUGACGGUACCUGCAGAAGAAGCACCGGCUAACUACGUGCCAGCAGCCGCGGUAAUACGUAGGGUGCGAGCGUUAUCCGGAAUUAUUGGGCGUAAAGAGCUCGUAUGCGGUUUGUCGCGUCUGUCGUGAAAGUCCGGGGCUUAACCCCGGAUCUGCGGUGGGUACGGGCAGACUACAGUGCAGUAUGGGAGACUGGAAUUCCUGGUGUAGCGGUGGAAUGCGCAGAUAUCAGGAGGAACACCGAUGGCGAAGGCAGGUCUCUGGGCUGUAACUGACGCUGAGGAGCGAAAGCAUGGGGAGCGAACAGGAUUAGAUACCCUGGUAGUCCAUGCCGUAAACGUUGGGCACUAGGUGUGGGGACCAUUCCACGGUUUCCGCGCCGCAGCUAACGCAUUAAGUGCCCCGCCUGGGGAGUACGG